CGCCUUCUCAGUCGCGCGCUCGGCGACACACACAUACACACACGUGCACAGCCGUCCUCAGCGUGCGUGCCUCCGGUAGUCUUGUCUUUACUCUCCUUUGUCUUGCUUCUCGCCUUCGUGGCGCUCAGUGUAAUGCUGCGCGCGUGCCGGCGUCGGCACACGAUCUUCGACGCCUGUUACGUCCUGAACCUCGACAGGCGACCUGAUCGCUGGGCACAUGUGCAGCAGCAGGUAAAGCGGGCGAAGCUGCACAAGUUUCUAAAGCCCGGCGUGGAGGUGACGCGCGUCAGCGGCAUCGAUGGGCACGAGCUCGAUGUUGCAAGCUUGCACAGGGACGGGGUGCUCACCGACCGAGGCUAUCAGCGCUACCAACUCCCCACGGAGCAGAAGCUUUACGGCAUGGACCUGACGAAGGGCGCCAUUGGCUGCGCGCUUUCUCAUCGUGCGGUCUGGCAGCGGGUGGUAGCGGAGCAUCGUGAGUGCGUCCUCAUCCUCGAGGACGACCUUGAGUUCCAUCACCAGUUUUCCCGCCAGUUCGCGGAGCGCUGGUCACGGGUGCCGGCUGACUGGGGGAUCGUGCACAUGGGCGGCCUCGAUCUACUCGCGAGUGGCAAGGCGCCGCGGCCGUACAUAGCGGACGGCAUCCGCCUAGCGUACGAAGGGCACCGCGAGCUCACCGCGUAUGUGGCGCAUGCCGCCUCCGCUCAGCGCUGCCUCGAUCUGUCGCUGCCCAUGACGUGGCAAGUGGACACCCACAUCAGCAGCUGCCUUGCCGACGACGCUGCGGCGCAAGAUAAGUACAUCGCCGACCCCAAGAUGUACGUGUUCCAGCCAUCGUUGGUGAUUCAGCUCAUGUCCUUCACGACAGACGUCCAGAAGAAGCCCACCGACAACCCCGCUCUCGCAGAUGCCGCGCGCCGUUUGCGGGAGUUCGUCGGUGGUGGCACGUCUGUUCGUUAAGCACGAGGAACAACGCUGCUGUGUGCGGUGAGAGUUGGUGCUGUUUGACGUCCUCACUACGCACAUGCUGGAAAUGGCGUGUGCGUGCCUGGGUGGGGCGCGUGUUGGGUGGGCAAUGUGAUAGCUGUGGGCUUUCCCUUUUGGGGGUUCGACCGCUGGUGGCGGUAGUGCAGCGGGCCGUAUUCUUCACAUGACGCCCCACCCCACGGAGGCACCGAAGGAAAGAGAGAAAUAGACG
This 1198-nucleotide unclassified non-coding RNA is filed under the name Leishmania donovani. RNAcentral describes it as "gene:LdHU3.13.1030(CDS-product:glycosyltransferas e_family-like_protein)". Lineage: Eukaryota; Euglenozoa; Kinetoplastea; Trypanosomatida; Trypanosomatidae. The record is from RNAcentral.